GACAGAGGGUGCAAACGUUGUUCGGAUUUACUGGGCGUAAAGCGCGUGUAGGCGGCUUGGCAAGUCGGAUGUGAAAGCCCACGGCUCAACCGUGGAAGCGCACCCGAAACGGCCUCGCUCGAGUCUCGGAGAGGAAGGUGGAAUGCUUGGUGUAGAGGUGAAAUUCGUAGAUAUUAGGAAGAACACCGGUGGCGAAGGCGGCCCACUGGUCCGGUACUGACGCUGAGGUGCGAAAGCGUGGGGAGCAAACAGG
RNAcentral lists this ribosomal RNA (253 nucleotides) under uncultured bacterium. RNAcentral's name for it is "partial 16S ribosomal RNA". It matches the Rfam family "Bacterial small subunit ribosomal RNA", at positions 524 to 776 of the family's 1533-position model. The record is from RNAcentral.